This 1391-nucleotide ribosomal RNA is filed under the name Pediococcus pentosaceus. RNAcentral's name for it is "bacterial SSU rRNA". It matches the Rfam family "Bacterial small subunit ribosomal RNA", at positions 64 to 1430 of the family's 1533-position model. The record is from RNAcentral. Lineage: Bacteria; Bacillati; Bacillota; Bacilli; Lactobacillales; Lactobacillaceae.
GAUUAUGACGUACUUGUACUGAUUGAGAUUUUAACACGAAGUGAGUGGCGAACGGGUGAGUAACACGUGGGUAACCUGCCCAGAAGUAGGGGAUAACACCUGGAAACAGAUGCUAAUACCGUAUAACAGAGAAAACCGCAUGGUUUUCUUUUAAAAGAUGGCUCUGCUAUCACUUCUGGAUGGACCCGCGGCGUAUUAGCUAGUUGGUGAGGUAAAGGCUCACCAAGGCAGUGAUACGUAGCCGACCUGAGAGGGUAAUCGGCCACAUUGGGACUGAGACACGGCCCAGACUCCUACGGGAGGCAGCAGUAGGGAAUCUUCCACAAUGGACGCAAGUCUGAUGGAGCAACGCCGCGUGAGUGAAGAAGGGUUUCGGCUCGUAAAGCUCUGUUGUUAAAGAAGAACGUGGGUAAGAGUAACUGUUUACCCAGUGACGGUAUUUAACCAGAAAGCCACGGCUAACUACGUGCCAGCAGCCGCGGUAAUACGUAGGUGGCAAGCGUUAUCCGGAUUUAUUGGGCGUAAAGCGAGCGCAGGCGGUCUUUUAAGUCUAAUGUGAAAGCCUUCGGCUCAACCGAAGAAGUGCAUUGGAAACUGGGAGACUUGAGUGCAGAAGAGGACAGUGGAACUCCAUGUGUAGCGGUGAAAUGCGUAGAUAUAUGGAAGAACACCAGUGGCGAAGGCGGCUGUCUGGUCUGCAACUGACGCUGAGGCUCGAAAGCAUGGGUAGCGAACAGGAUUAGAUACCCUGGUAGUCCAUGCCGUAAACGAUGAUUACUAAGUGUUGGAGGGUUUCCGCCCUUCAGUGCUGCAGCUAACGCAUUAAGUAAUCCGCCUGGGGAGUACGACCGCAAGGUUGAAACUCAAAAGAAUUGACGGGGGCCCGCACAAGCGGUGGAGCAUGUGGUUUAAUUCGAAGCUACGCGAAGAACCUUACCAGGUCUUGACAUCUUCUGACAGUCUAAGAGAUUAGAGGUUCCCUUCGGGGACAGAAUGACAGGUGGUGCAUGGUUGUCGUCAGCUCGUGUCGUGAGAUGUUGGGUUAAGUCCCGCAACGAGCGCAACCCUUAUUACUAGUUGCCAGCAUUAAGUUGGGCACUCUAGUGAGACUGCCGGUGACAAACCGGAGGAAGGUGGGGACGACGUCAAAUCAUCAUGCCCCUUAUGACCUGGGCUACACACGUGCUACAAUGGAUGGUACAACGAGUCGCGAAACCGCGAGGUUAAGCUAAUCUCUUAAAACCAUUCUCAGUUCGGACUGUAGGCUGCAACUCGCCUACACGAAGUCGGAAUCGCUAGUAAUCGCGGAUCAGCAUGCCGCGGUGAAUACGUUCCCGGGCCUUGUACACACCGCCCGUCACACCAUGAGAGUUUGUAACACCCAAAGCCGG